GUCUCUGAUAGCUCAACUGAUAGAGCCUUCGGCGCUUUACUAGAUGAUCCGGAUUCGAAUCCCGGUCUGGACU
This 73-nucleotide transfer RNA is filed under the name Cotesia glomerata. RNAcentral's name for it is "tRNA-Lys". The record is from RNAcentral. Lineage: Eukaryota; Metazoa; Arthropoda; Insecta; Hymenoptera; Braconidae.